Molecule: ribosomal RNA, 502 nt
Filed under: uncultured bacterium
Lineage: Bacteria
Description: partial 16S ribosomal RNA
Rfam family: Bacterial small subunit ribosomal RNA
Source: RNAcentral
GACGAACGCUGGCGGCGUGCCUAAUACAUGCAAGUCGAACGAACCGCCGCUAAGUUCUCUCAUUUGACGAAGGCGGGGGGCGAACGGGUGAGUAGUACGUAAGCAACCUAUCUGACAGUGGGAAAUAAGAGACGGAAAGGACAGCAAAGACUGAUAAGUACAAGGGCACAGAUGGAUCGUGAAGGAAAGCUGGCGCAACCUUUCGAGAAGAAAUUGAGCCGCGUUGGAUUAGCUAGUUGGUAAGGGAACGGCUUACCAAGGCUAUGAUGCAUAGCCGACCUGAGAGGGUGAUCGGCCACACUGGAACUGAGACACGGUCCAGACUCCUACGGGAGGCAGCAGUAGGGAAUCUUCCGCAAUGGGCGAAAGCCUGACGGAGCAACGCCGCGUGAGUGAUGAAGGUCUUCGGAUCGUAAAGCUCUGUUAUUAGGGAAGAACAGCCGUGAGAGUAACUGUGCUGAGUGUGACGGUAUCUAAUCAGAAAGCCACGGCUAACUACGUG